GAUGAACGCUGGCGGCGUGCUUAACACAUGCAAGUCGAACGAUGAAGCCCAGCUUGCUGGGUGGAUUAGUGGCGAACGGGUGAGUAACACGUGAGUAACCUGCCCUUAACUCUGGGAUAAGCCUGGGAAACUGGGUCUAAUACCGGAUAGGAGCGUCCACCGCAUGGUGUGUGUUGGAAAGAUUUAUCGGUUUUGGUUGGACUCGCGGCCUAUCAGCUUGUUGGUGAGGUAAUGGCUCACCAAGGCGACGACGGGUAGCCGGCCUGAGAGGGUGACCGGCCACACUGGGACUGAGACACGGCCCAGACUCCUACGGGAGGCAGCAGUGGGGAAUAUUGCACAAUGGGCGCAAGCCUGAUGCAGCGACGCCGCGUGAGGGAUGACGGCCUUCGGGUUGUAAACCUCUUUCAGUAGGGAAGAAGCGAAAGUGACGGUACCUGCAGAAGAAGCACCGGCUAACUACGUG
RNAcentral lists this ribosomal RNA (466 nucleotides) under uncultured bacterium. Its description in RNAcentral is "partial 16S ribosomal RNA". It matches the Rfam family "Bacterial small subunit ribosomal RNA", at positions 28 to 507 of the family's 1533-position model. The record is from RNAcentral.